This 1985-nucleotide ribosomal RNA is filed under the name human gut metagenome. RNAcentral's name for it is "bacterial LSU rRNA". It matches the Rfam family "Bacterial large subunit ribosomal RNA", at positions 3 to 1987 of the family's 2925-position model. The record is from RNAcentral.
UUAAGUUAUUAAGGGCGCACGGUGGAUGCCUUGGCACUAGAAGCCGAUGAAGGACGUUACUAACGACGAUAUGCUUUGGGUAGCUGUAAGUAAGCGUUGAUCCAGAGAUUUCCGAAUGGGGGAACCCAGCAUGAGUUAUGUCAUGUUAUCGACAUGUGAAUUCAUAGCAUGUCAGAAGGCAGACCCGGAGAACUGAAACAUCUUAGUACCCGGAGGAAGAGAAAGAAAAAUCGAUUCCCUGAGUAGCGGCGAGCGAAACGGGAAGAGCCCAAACCAACAAGCUUGCUUGUUGGGGUUGUAGGACACUCUAUACGGAGUUACAAAAGAACAUGUUAGACGAAUCAUCUGGAAAGAUGAAUCAAAGAAGGUAAUAAUCCUGUAGUCGAAAACAUAUUCUCUCUUGAGUGGAUCCUGAGUACGACGGAGCACGUGAAAUUCCGUCGGAAUCUGGGAGGACCAUCUCCUAAGGCUAAAUACUCUCUAGUGACCGAUAGUGAACCAGUACCGUGAGGGAAAGGUGAAAAGUACCCCGGAAGGGGAGUGAAAGAGAACUUGAAACCGUGUGCUUACAAGUAGUCAGAGCCCGUUAAUGGGUGAUGGCGUGCCUUUUGUAGAAUGAACCGGCGAGUUACGAUCUGAUGCAAGGUUAAGCAGCAAAUGUGGAGCCGCAGCGAAAGCGAGUCUGAAUAGGGCGUUGAGUAUUUGGUCGUAGACCCGAAACCAGGUGAUCUACCCUUGGUCAGGUUGAAGUUCAGGUAACACUGAAUGGAGGACCGAACCGACUUACGUUGAAAAGUGAGCGGAUGAACUGAGGGUAGCGGAGAAAUUCCAAUCGAACUUGGAGAUAGCUGGUUCUCUCCGAAAUAGCUUUAGGGCUAGCCUCAAGUGAUGAUUAUUGGAGGUAGAGCACUGUUUGGACGAGGGGCCCCUCUCGGGUUACCGAAUUCAGACAAACUCCGAAUGCCAAUUAAUUUAACUUGGGAGUCAGAACAUGGGUGAUAAGGUCCGUGUUCGAAAGGGAAACAGCCCAGACCACCAGCUAAGGUCCCAAAAUAUAUGUUAAGUGGAAAAGGAUGUGGCGUUGCCCAGACAACUAGGAUGUUGGCUUAGAAGCAGCCAUCAUUUAAAGAGUGCGUAAUAGCUCACUAGUCGAGUGACACUGCGCCGAAAAUGUACCGGGGCUAAACAUAUUACCGAAGCUGUGGAUUGUCCUUUGGACAAUGGUAGGAGAGCGUUCUAAGGGCGUCGAAGCAUGAUCGCAAGGACAUGUGGAGCGCUUAGAAGUGAGAAUGCCGGUGUGAGUAGCGAAAGACGGGUGAGAAUCCCGUCCACCGAUUGACUAAGGUUUCCAGAGGAAGGCUCGUCCGCUCUGGGUUAGUCGGGUCCUAAGCUGAGGCCGACAGGCGUAGGCGAUGGAUAACAGGUUGAUAUUCCUGUACCACCUAGUAUCGUUUUAAUCGAUGGGGGGACGCAGUAGGAUAGGCGAAGCGUGCUGUUGGAGUGCACGUCCAAGCAGUAAGGCUGAGUGUUAGGCAAAUCCGGCACUCAUAAGGCUGAGCUGUGAUGGGGAGAGGAAAUUGUUUCCUCGAGUCGUUGAUUUCACACUGCCGAGAAAAGCCUCUAGAUAGAUAACAGGUGCCCGUACCGCAAACCGACACAGGUAGUCAAGAUGAGAAUUCUAAGGUGAGCGAGCGAACUCUCGUUAAGGAACUCGGCAAAAUGACCCCGUAACUUCGGGAGAAGGGGUGCUCUUUAGGGUUCACGCCCAGAAGAGCCGCAGUGAAUAGGCCCAAGCGACUGUUUAUCAAAAACACAGGUCUCUGCUAAACCGUAAGGUGAUGUAUAGGGGCUGACGCCUGCCCGGUGCUGGAAGGUUAAGAGGAGUGGUUAGCUUCUGCGAAGCUACGAAUCGAAGCCCCAGUAAACGGCGGCCGUAACUAUAACGGUCCUAAGGUAGCGAAAUUCCUUGUCGGGUAAGUUCCGAC